Molecule: transfer RNA, 85 nt
Filed under: Firmicutes bacterium ASF500
Lineage: Bacteria; Bacillati; Bacillota
Description: tRNA-Gln
Source: RNAcentral
CCAGGUUUUGGGCCAGGUGGACCAGGUCGAUCUGGUCGAUCUUGCUGGACUGGGCGAACUCCCGGGUUCCGCUCCGGGCUCUGGA